CUUCUCAGUUCUGCAGGGGUUGUACACUCUGCAUACAACGUUGUUUUUACUGUGGAUGCUGUAUCAGCAGCUUUGAUUAUGAGGAGGAUUUCUGUCUAGAUAUAAUUUGUAAGAAUUGUUGGAACAAGAUGCUAAGUUCUCAAGAUGAGGUAUCAGUUGUGUCUCGUUGGCUAGUCAAGAUGAAACAUUAAACGCUUGUUUGACUUUGAAUUGCCUGCUGCAAUUUACACGAUUUCACUGUCUAGAUAAGAUUGGCGUGUAUAUGAGAUAUAUAGCCCACCAACCAUAAGUAAAGAUGCUAUGAAAUUCAAGAGAUUCUUAUUUAAAAAAAAAUGAAAUUCAAGAGAUUCGUGAAGAUAACGAACUAUGUGCAGCAUGUGAUGUGAGCAAGGAUGGUUAUUGUUGCUGAUUUGGCUGUGACUUCUUAACUAAAUUAGUUCCAUGAACAACAGUUCAUUUGGAGAGGAAGGAAAGACAGCGGUAAGAGGGCUUCAAAGUUUUCAAGAGAAAAUAAAGGUGAAGGGCAAGCAUAAAAGCGGAAGAAAAAUCGUAUGUUCUUCAUAUUGUCCAGAGUUGGAAUAAGUCCUGUGAGCUUGCAUUCAGUGAAUCCUCACGACACUGGUGAGCUUGUUGGUGGAAAUGAAGUUGAACCUGUAUUAUUAUCCAUAUUGGUGGAUAUGGUAAUUUUCUAAUGUGAAUUUUGGAAUUGUUUAAUUGCUCGGAUAGCUAACAUGUCCACUCCGAGCCAAAGACUGCAAUGGAGCUGGAAGAAAAAAUACAGGUAUUUCAUGGUUCCAGGUGCAAGAAAUAGCCAGCAAUCAUGUAUAGAGAUUCUGAGCAAGUGAAAAACUUCACAGAGAUUCUUAUCUCCAUGGACAACAGUUCUUAACAGACAUUGCCUCCAGAGGUUGAGCAAAUCCUGGGAGCUUGCGUUCAGUGAAUCCCUACGAGAUUGGUGAGCUUGUUGACGGAAAUAAAGUCGAGCUUGUAUUCUUAUCCACAUUGGUGGAUAUGAUAAUUUUCAUAUGAAAUUUGGGAAUUGUUUAAUUGCUGUUGGAUAUCUAGCAGGUCCACUCCGAGCCAAAGACUGCAAUGGAGCUGGAAGAAAAAAUACGGGUAAUCAUGGUUCUGGGUGCAAGAAAUAGCCAGCAGUCAUGCAUAGAGAUUCUGAGCAAGUGAAGAAAUUUUAUGGAGAUUCAUUCUCCAUGGAAAACAGUUCUUAACAGACAUUGCCUCCAGAGGUGGAGCAAAUCCUGGGAGCUUGCAUUCAGUGAAUCCCGACGAGACUGCAGGUCCACUCUGAGCCAAAGACUGCAACAGAGCUGGAAGAAAAAAUAUGGCUAAUCAUGGUUCUGGGUGCUAGAAAUAGCCUACAACAGUUCUUAACAGCCAUUAUCUCCAUAUAUGGAGCAAAUCCUGGGAGCUUGCAUCAAGUAAAAUCCUGAGGACAUCCAGUAGUUAUUUGCAGGCUUGCUCAUGGGAACGAAGUGGAGAGUGUUUGUGUUCAGGAUGUCUAAACAGCUUUCUGUAGAACUGGGAAUUGUAUAGUUUCCAAAGGACGUAUAGCAGAUGUGCAUAAUCAAGCCCGAAGACUGUGGUGUGCUGGGAGAAGAACAAAUCUGCUAUACUGUUUCUGUCGAUCGAAUAAGGCAGGGAAACUCGAGUUUGUGCUUCUGAUGCAACUGAGUAGAUCUGUUAUUUUUUCAUAAGAUCUUGUUGGAAAAAUGUUAAUGUACUUGAUGGUGAUUCUACUCUUUGUUGCUGGUUUGAUAGUCCUGUGAUGCAACUGUGUUAAUCUGUGUUUUCUUUAGAAAAAUAGAUAAAUAAGAUCUUGUUGCCCAAGAAAAUGUUAAAAUCUGGGGUGAUAGCUCUUCUGCUAUA
Carica papaya (papaya) is the source of this 1881-nucleotide non-coding RNA. Lineage: Eukaryota; Viridiplantae; Streptophyta; Magnoliopsida; Brassicales; Caricaceae. The record is from RefSeq and is a predicted model, not a curated record.